Long non-coding RNA from Mastomys coucha (southern multimammate mouse), 311 nucleotides. RefSeq lists it as uncharacterized. The record is from RefSeq and is a predicted model, not a curated record. The transcript is spliced from 2 exons. Lineage: Eukaryota; Metazoa; Chordata; Mammalia; Rodentia; Muridae.
UAUACACCGAGAAAGUGCUGGGCUACUGAGCUACAUCUGCAGCCCAACUCUGUCUUUGGGUAUAAGACAUUCAUCUCAAACUAACACAUCUGCAAGUACUCAGAAGGAAUGCACAAGAAAAGAGGCUGCAUAAUGGACUCCCUACACUCACAAUUAAAUAUGUAAGAAAACACAGUUUUACAGGGCCCCUACUGAACCAAGAGGUCACAGAUUGGCUAGACCAGAAGACCAGUAAGCACCAAGAUCCUUUAUCUCUGUCUUCCACACCUCUACCCAGAAUUAGGUUUAUAAAAAUACACCAUUACAUCUGA